UCCCUGAUGGUCCAGUGGCUAAGACUCUGAGCUCCCAAUGCAGAGGUCCCAGGUUCCAUCCUUGGUCAGGAAA
RNAcentral lists this transfer RNA (73 nucleotides) under Bos taurus (domestic cattle). It matches the Rfam family "tRNA". From Rfam's summary of the family: Transfer RNA (tRNA) molecules are approximately 80 nucleotides in length. RNAcentral also lists the same sequence under 1 other name. Lineage: Eukaryota; Metazoa; Chordata; Mammalia; Artiodactyla; Bovidae. The record is from Rfam by way of RNAcentral.